UAAAAUAUUUUUUUAUAACUUUUAUUUAAUUAAUAAUUAGACUUAUAAAAUUAUAUAAACAUAUUAAAAAAAGUAAAAUUUAUUAUAAAAUUUUUUUUAUAUCCGAAACAUCGCGCCGGUAUUUCACUAGUAUGCUCAAAAGUUGAGUGUACAAAUAGGAUUUUUCUUUAUCUAUAAUCUAUAACUCUAUAUGAAUCCCCAAUAAAAAUGAUGACAUGGCAAGCUCUCCUUUUUUUUAGAUUUUUUAUAUUUUUUUGCUCUCUUUGAACCGACAUCUCCUCUUCCUUCAACCGUUUCUCUUUUUCAUAUGACAUUUUAUCUUUCCAAUGUGACCGUUUAUCUUUUCUAUAUGAAAGUUAUCUUCUCCAUGCGACCGUUUCUCUUUUCCAUAUGACAAUUUAUUUUUCCGGCCAUGCAACUAUUUCUCUUCGCCAUAAUUUCAUAUGACAUUUUAUCUUUCCAAUGUGAUCGUUUUUCUUUCCCAUAUAAAAGUUAUCUUCUCCAUACGACCGUUUCUCUUUUCGAUAUGACAAUUUAUUUUUCCGGCCAUGCAACCGUUUCUCUUCGCCAUAAGUUAUGGUUUCUUCUCCUGCUUCUUCAUUGCCAUUUUCUUUACCAUCUUGCCUUUUUUAGUACAGAUUAACCAAAAUGUUGGGUGGUGACUGCGUAAUCUAUUGCCUUCCUCGGCAUGAUUCGAGACGAGGGCGCCAAUGUCAUCCGCUCCUCCCUCUGCGUCGAUCACGAUCUCCUCCGCCACACCACCAUUCACGACCUCCUUUCUACAAUCUACAUCGCAUCAUAAACGGCCGCAAACGGCCGCGUUGAGGUUGGUUUCGUUUAAUCGCUUCUUUCUCUCUUUUGUAAUUUUUUGUAAUAUUUUUUUUUGUUGGAGAUGAAGAAGAGAGGAGAGUUUCCAAAAAUACCGAGAAAGAGAGAGGAGGAGAGUUGGCGGAUAUGGUGAGUUGUGUACUGGAAUCCGUAGUCGAGGAUAAGGAUGGGGUUCCGGCAAUGUUGGUGGUAGUGGCGGCGACGGCCCGUUUUGC
Molecule: long non-coding RNA, 1043 nt
Filed under: Ananas comosus (pineapple)
Lineage: Eukaryota; Viridiplantae; Streptophyta; Magnoliopsida; Poales; Bromeliaceae
Description: long non-coding RNA (ACOM_LNC002387)
Source: RNAcentral